This 253-nucleotide ribosomal RNA is filed under the name uncultured bacterium. RNAcentral's name for it is "partial 16S ribosomal RNA". It matches the Rfam family "Bacterial small subunit ribosomal RNA", at positions 524 to 776 of the family's 1533-position model. The record is from RNAcentral.
UACGUAGGGGGCAAGCGUUGUCCGGAUUUAUUGGGCGUAAAGCGCGCGUAGGCGGCGCGGUAUGUCGUGCGUGAAAUCUCCCGGCUUAACUGGGAGGGGCCGUGCGAAACUGCCGGGCUUGAGGUCGGAAGGGGAAAGUGGAAUUCCGGGUGUAGUGGUGGAAUACGUAGAUAUCCGGAGGAACACCAGCGGCGAAGGCGGCUUUCUGGUCCGAUACUGACGCUGAGGCGCGAAAGCGUGGGGAGCGAUCCGG